This 812-nucleotide ribosomal RNA is filed under the name Deporaus betulae. RNAcentral's name for it is "eukaryotic LSU rRNA". It matches the Rfam family "Eukaryotic large subunit ribosomal RNA", at positions 48 to 646 of the family's 3401-position model. The record is from RNAcentral. Lineage: Eukaryota; Metazoa; Arthropoda; Insecta; Coleoptera; Attelabidae.
UAGCGAGGAAAGAAACUAACUAGGAUUCCCCUAGUAGCUGCGAGCGAACAGGGAAAAGCCCAGCACCGAAUCUUGCGAUCGAUACCGGUCGCCAAGAAAUGUGGUGUUAGGGAGGGUCCAUUAUCUCGCGAUAAUACGACGCGUCCAAGUCCUUCUUGAACGGGGCCACAACCCAUAGAGGGUGCUAGGCCCGUAGCGACCGUCGUUUGUUGCGAGAGGAUCUCUCCUCAGAGUCGGGUUGCUUGAGAGUGCAGCCCUAAGUGGGUGGUAAACUCCAUCUAAGGCUAAAUAUGACCACGAGACCGAUAGCGAACAAGUACCGUGAGGGAAAGUUGAAAAGCACUUUGAAGAGAGAGUUCAAGAGUACGUGAAACCGUUUAGGGGUAAACCUGAGAAAUCCGAAAGGUCGAAAGGAGAAAUUCAUUCGAGUUUCGGCCGGUAGCGUAAGACGUUAGAGUGACUGCUCGUCUUCGGGCGAGACGCGCCUUUCGUUUGUCGAUCUGCCGUCGAACUCGUGCACUUUUCUCCUAGUAGGACGUCGUGAUCCGUUGGGCGUCGGUCUAAGGUACGCGGUGGAGCUUUCGAGUGCGGCUUGCCGUUCAUUCGGAAACCCGCGAUAUCGGACCGACACGCUCGACGGUAUUGAUAAGGCGCUAGGCCGCUAUUUUUAGCGUCCGACCCGUGGCAAGCGCGGUGGGUGUGUCGUCAGCCGGAUCUGAUGCCGGCCUCGGCCCCCGUCGACUGUUGGCUGCGGCGUUCUCGGGCAGACUUAACGCCGAUCUACGACGCUUUAGCUUUGGAUACUUUCAGAC